UUUGAUGAUUGGCGAUAGAUCAUUCAAGUUUCUGACCUAUCAGCUUUCGACGGUAGUGUAUUGGACUACCGUGGCAGUGACGGGUAACGGGGAAUUAGGGUUCGAUUCCGGAGAGGGAGCCUGAGAAACGGCUACCACAUCUAAGGAAGGCAGCAGGCGCGCAAAUUACCCAAUCCUGACUCAGGGAGGUAGUGACAAGAAAUAACAACACUGGAAAUUUGAUUUCUAGUGAUUGGAAUGAUGGGAAUCCAAACCCCUUUCAGAGUAACAAUUGGAGGGCAAGUCUGGUGCCAGCAGCCGCGGUAAUUCCAGCUCCAAUAGCGUAUAUUAAAGUUGUUGCAGUUAAAAAGCUCGUAGUUGGAUGUCUGUUGGAAGCAAUCAUCAGUCCGCCCUAUUUGAUUAGGGUGUGAAUAUGAUGAAUUCCGGCAUAAUUGUCUCCCUAUUGUUAAUAUUCUGAUUGUUAGAUUCAUUUCUAACAAUAAUACGAUUAUUAAUAAUAAGGGGGAAAUGUUACUUUGAGAAAAUUAGAGUGUUUGAAGCAGGCUUUUGUUGCCUUGAAUACUGCAGCAUGGAAUAACAAUAUAGGAUUUCGGUUCUAUUUUGUUGGUUCUUUUUUUAGGACUGAAAUAAUGAUUAAUAGGGACAGUUGGGGGCAUUCGUAUUUAACUGUCAGAGGUGAAAUUCUUAGAUUUGUUAAAGACGAACUACUGCGAAAGCAUUUGCCAAAGAUGUUUUCAUUAAUCAAGAACGAAAGUUAGGGGCUCGAAGACGAUCAGAUACCGUCGUAGUCUUAACCAUAAACUAUGCCGACUAGAGAUAGGAAAUUGUCAUU
RNAcentral lists this ribosomal RNA (832 nucleotides) under Sarcocystis miescheriana. RNAcentral describes it as "SSU rRNA". It matches the Rfam family "Eukaryotic small subunit ribosomal RNA", at positions 277 to 1067 of the family's 1831-position model. Lineage: Eukaryota; Apicomplexa; Conoidasida; Eucoccidiorida; Sarcocystidae. The record is from RNAcentral.